GCGUGUACUCGGAGGACAUUAAUGAAUGAAAUUGAGUGGGGUUGUAGCUGGCCUUUCACCGGGCAUGUGCACACCUCAUUCGACCACCUUCUACACCCCUGUGCACUUCUCAUGAGUUGGGCCGCGUCUGAAACACGACAAAGUCCGGCUCGUGUGUUUUAUACAAACGAAUCAUGUUACAGAAUGUCACUACCAUGCUUUGAAGCAUAUAAUACAACUUUCAACAACGGAUCUCUUGGCUCUCGCAUCGAUGAAGAACGCAGCGAAAUGCGAUAAGUAAUGUGAAUUGCAGAAUUCAGUGAAUCAUCGAAUCUUUGAACGCACCUUGCGCUCCUUGGUAUUCCGAGGAGCAUGCUUGUUUGAGUGUCAUGGUCUUCUCAACCCUUCCGUCUUUUUCACCGGAGACUGUCGGGCUUGGAUGUGGAGGUCUUGCAGGCAUCUGGAUCUUUUGAUUCAGAAGUCGGCUCCUCUGAAAUGCAUUAGCUUGAAUAGUACCAAGCAUGAUUCAGCGUGAUAAUUGUCUACGUUGCUUCGUCUCGGUGAAUUAAAUGUUCAAGCUUCUAACCGUCCCUCGGGACAAUCUCUGAACAUCUGACCUCAAAUCAAGUAGGACUACCCGCUGAACUUAAGCAUAUCAAAAAGGGGGGGAGAAAAA
RNAcentral lists this ribosomal RNA (655 nucleotides) under Steccherinum bourdotii. RNAcentral's name for it is "eukaryotic LSU rRNA". The stretch from base 216 to 369 matches the Rfam family "5.8S ribosomal RNA". The record is from RNAcentral. Lineage: Eukaryota; Fungi; Basidiomycota; Agaricomycetes; Polyporales; Steccherinaceae.